This 183-nucleotide ribosomal RNA is filed under the name uncultured bacterium. RNAcentral describes it as "partial 16S ribosomal RNA". It matches the Rfam family "Bacterial small subunit ribosomal RNA", at positions 356 to 531 of the family's 1533-position model. The record is from RNAcentral.
GGGGAAUAUUGCACAAUGGGCGCAAGCCUGAUGCAGCCAUGCCGCGUGUGUGAAGAAGGCCUUCGGGUUGUAAAGCACUUUCAGCGGGGAGGAAGGCGUUAAGGUUAAUAACCUUGGCGAUUGACGUUACCCGCAGAAGAAGCACCGGCUAACUCCGUGCCAGCAGCCGCGGUAAUACGGAGG